Molecule: long non-coding RNA, 1792 nt
Organism: Tyto alba (common barn owl)
Lineage: Eukaryota; Metazoa; Chordata; Aves; Strigiformes; Tytonidae
Exons: 2
Source: RefSeq, a predicted model, not a curated record
GUCUUGUAGAAAAGAAGGCCAGUGUGCAAUCCCAGCUGUAGUACCCGUGUCCUCCCUGCCCACCCCAAGUCCCACCAUGCAAACAAGAAGGCAGAGGACACCGUGGGACUGGAAGGUUAUUUAAGCCAACAUGUCACUGGAUACACUUCAUAAAGGGUUUAUCCUCUUUUAUAAGGACAAAUACACGAUUAAGAGCUGUAACAGUCACGAGCAGCGGCUGGGGGAUGGCUGGGCUGCGCCUACCCCAGCGCAGGGGCCUUUGUUGGGUGUUUUUACAGGAGAAUGGGCUCCACUAUCCCCAGGGUCCCACCUCCGGGCGGAGCUCGCCAGCCUAAAAACCUGGGAAAUCACUGCAAAACCUGCCAGCAGCAAACCAGCCCUGGGGUAGGAGGGCAAGUUCUGAAGGAGGGAGCGACCCUGCGCCAGAACAGAAGCAGCCGGCGGAUGCUGAAGAGGCAGCCAGGUCUUCAGCGGUCCCAGUUCUGCCUCUGAAAUUACCUUGGGGGGAGAGAAACGGCUUGCAAAGAGCUCCACAGAAUGCCUGACGGUAAGUAUUUAUUCAUAUGUUACAUUUAAACAUAAAUAACUGAGCAAUAAAGAGAAUAGUCUGCUCCCAACAAAAAUAUAUAAGUCAAUACACAAUAUUCAUAAAAUACAAUUAGAAUGUUAUAACAAAUACAACGAAGUGUGCAGAGGUUUGUUGUUUGUUGUUUUUUUUAAACAGAGUUGUACAGUACAUUCCCAACAUACCGAAGGAAAAUAGUGCAGUUUUAUUUUUUACAUCACUUCCUCAGGCUCUGCGAGUUGAAGGGUUUUCUCGCUCAUCGUCAAUUCUUAAAAAAACCACUUUCACCUUUCGAGUGGACAGACAGACACGGAGCCUGCGGCGCGUUUGAGACCGUUUGUCCACCCGGGAGCGGCUGCGCGGGGGCAGGCGGCUGAGCCGACCAGACCUUUUUCCCCUGCAACUCCCACCGUUGCUGUUUGAGCGCUCUGCGCUCGGGGGGGGUUUCCUUCCCAAGGGCUCCUCCGCAGCACCGUGCUCAGCACCGAGGGGGCCCGUCCGGCUGCUCCGGAGCCCAGAGCACAACCCGCUCCUCCCCGGGGGCAUCUGGCUCCACCAGCCAGGGGGGAUUUCAGUUUGUUGUUGUGGGUUUUUUUUUUUUUGUUUUUUUUUUUUUUUCAUCUCUCCCCUCAAAUUUUGAGAGACCAGCUUAAGGGAGGGCUUGGCUACUGAGCUGAGCAGCACUUGGUGUGCAUUUUUUCCUUUUUCAGACUAUCAUUUGCUAUUUUUAGUUUACUGCGAUCAUAAAGACCUAAGCACAGAUCGUCCUUCUAGAACCAAAUCUGCCUCUUUCUUGGGGCAGUAACACUCCGCUCGUAUGAACCCCAAGGCAGCACUUGCCUAGUGCAAAGAGCAAACGUGCCCGCUGCUUGGGUAAUAACAAGACCAGAGUUACUAAAACAACCACCUCCUACCAGUAUUUGAAUCUUCAAACAGAAUGAUUUUAUUCCCUACACCUCUUUUUGCUAAAAAUCUGUUUUUAAAUGUUGAUAGGAGCUGAUCUAACGAAGGCAAACUUCUCUGAGCACCUGGUCGAGUUGACUACGUCCCUGCCCGGGGCAGGGGGGUUGCACUGGGACGGGCUGACCUUCAAAGGUCCCUCCCACCCCCGCCAGCCUAGGAAAAGCACACGGAGCAGUUUUCUCUACCAGGUUCAGUGGAAAGCAAGCUGUGUAUCCCGGUCUGCUCUGAAGGAUUGAAAAAAAAAAAAUAGCAGAAAUACAAAAA